Molecule: long non-coding RNA, 1492 nt
Organism: Silurus meridionalis
Lineage: Eukaryota; Metazoa; Chordata; Actinopteri; Siluriformes; Siluridae
Exons: 3
Source: RefSeq, a predicted model, not a curated record
GGGUUUUAUUCCAGAUAGAUUGUCUGUACCAGCAGCAGAUGGCUGAGCUUCUGACAUUAUUCUAUGAGCUAUUGCCUAUAUGAAGGUCAAAAAUAAAGGACAAAGCGAUUCUUUUAUAUUGCCGAGCCUCGAGCACUGAGAGAACAUGUGAAAGUGAUGUCUAUGAAUUUAGUGAUAGGAUUUUGUGCGUGUGAGAGAAGACGGGGGAAGGAGGCACGGCGUGAAGAUCGAAUGAGAUUGAAUUCCGUUCCACAGAGAAAGACACAAAAGGAUGAACAUCUGACCUGUUUCUGUCCUUCUUACAAUGAAGAAAUCUUGGAACAAAAGCAGAUUAUGAGAUUAUAUAAAAUGCACCAAGAAUAAAUGAAUAAAGCAAAUAAUACAUAGAUAGAAAUGAGCUGUGAUAUAUUCAGUGGUCAAAGUGGAUCUGCGGAUUUGUUUUCAAGCUGCUUAGCUGAAAGCAGCACGGACAAAGACACCGAAGUACGAUGAUGUCUGCCAGCUGUGAAAUUUGUUCCAGGAGGAUGAAAGGACUGAGGCAAAGGCAGCAGGAAUGAGGAGUGAACGAGCAUGCUCCAGCUGUCACCUCCAGUCAGAUGGAAGCAAUGGGGAGGGGGAACGUUUUCUUUGAUGUUGCCCCAUCAACUUCCUGUACAUCUUCGUUACUCAUCAGAAUGUCAUAAAUUGUGGUUUGUGUGCAUGUGUGUGUCUGUGUUUGUGUGCAUGUGUGCAUGUGCGUGUGCGUCCAGUCACGUUAGUGUGCUUCAGGAAUACCUCUGUCAGAUCAAGGCUGUAGGAUUUAUAUGAGCACAUGGAGAGAGGUGGAGAGAUGGCUGAGAUUAUUCACACACACUAAAUCCACUGUCGAAAUACCACCGUUCACUGCUCACACUCACUCAAGGUACAACAUUCUUAAACUAUUAAUACAUAACUACAACUCCUACUACUGUUUAUCGUACUUCAACUAAACUAUAACAAUUAGCUCUACUUGGGCAUAUAUUGGGACACUUGACUUGACCUGCUGUAGGUGAUUCUUCCCUAAACUUUUACCACAAAGUUGGAAACUCACACAUCUUUGAAUGCACUAGCAUGACAACGUUCCUGUGCACAAAGCCAUCUCAAUGAACAUAUGGUUUGCAUGGAAUGGAGAGGAAGAUAUUGAGUGCCCGGCUAUAGAGCUCUGACCUCAAGCAUAUUCAACACCUUUGGGACAAAUUAGAACGCUGAUUGCACCAGGCCUCAUCAGCCUACAUCAGUACCUAACGUCCCUAACACUAUUGUGGCUGAGUGAGCACAAAUCUCCUUAAGCACACUCCAAAAUCUACUGGAACAUCUUCCCAGAGUAGUGGAGGUUAUUAUAAUUUAAUGAUCAGGUUUUUACAAACCUCUGUCCAUAAUAUGCAUGUAACAACUACAGUAUAUUACUCUUAAUGUUGCCUUAUGAUGAUUGGAAAAAAAAACUUUCUUUUUGUUCAUUCAAACUGUGUGUGAA